Molecule: long non-coding RNA, 439 nt
Organism: Ceratina calcarata
Lineage: Eukaryota; Metazoa; Arthropoda; Insecta; Hymenoptera; Apidae
Exons: 2
Source: RefSeq, a predicted model, not a curated record
CAUACCUUUCAGCGCCGGUCCAAGGAAUUGUAUCGGGCAAAAGUUCGCCAUGCUGGAACUGAAAGCAACCUUGGCGUACCUCUUGUAUAAUUUCAUUUUCGAGCCUGUAGAUUAUCUUAAAGACGUCACUUUUGUACCAGACCUUAUCCUACAAACGGAACAUUCUUUUCGAACUAAGUUCGUUCCGCUGGAGGUUGUCGGUUGAUAAACAUUAGAACAUGAUCAGUACUUGGUACAGGAUUCGUAUUUGGUGGACUCGUUUUAUUUGUAGGGAACACGAUAAAAGAGGCGAGUUAAGUUGACGAUCACUUUUAAUAGAUGAAAUACGAAAACAAUGUACAGAUACAGAAUUUACAUUCCUAGCCGACGAAAGUUCGCUAGAUAAAAUGUUAAUUGUGUAGUAAAAAAUGAAUUAAAAAUAAAGACGAUAUACACUUAA